AUUGAACGCUGGCGGCAGGCCUAACACAUGCAAGUCGAGCGGUUGAGGGUAGCUUGCUACCCGAUGCAGCGGCGAACGGGUGAGUAACGCGUGGGAAUCUGCCCAGUAGUGGGGGACAACAGUCGGAAACGACUGCUAAUACCGCAUACGCCCUACGGGGGAAAGGGGGGGAUCUUCGGACCUCCCGCUAUUGGAUGAGCCCGCGUCGGAUUAGCUAGUUGGUGGGGUAAAGGCUCACCAAGGCGACGAUCCGUAACUGGUCUGAGAGGAUGAUCAGUCACACUGGAACUGAGACACGGUCCAGACUCCUACGGGAGGCAGCAGUGGGGAAUAUUGGACAAUGGGGGCAACCCUGAUCCAGCCAUGCCGCGUGUGUGAAGAAGGCCUUAGGGUUGUAAAGCACUUUCAGUGGGGAGAAAAGUGAUUCACCUAAUACGUGAGUCUAUUGAUGUUACCCACAGAAAAGCACCGGCUAACUCCGUGCCAGCCGCCGCAGUAA
This 499-nucleotide ribosomal RNA is filed under the name uncultured bacterium. Its description in RNAcentral is "partial 16S ribosomal RNA". It matches the Rfam family "Bacterial small subunit ribosomal RNA", at positions 30 to 523 of the family's 1533-position model. The record is from RNAcentral.